This 253-nucleotide ribosomal RNA is filed under the name uncultured bacterium. Its description in RNAcentral is "partial 16S ribosomal RNA". It matches the Rfam family "Bacterial small subunit ribosomal RNA", at positions 524 to 776 of the family's 1533-position model. The record is from RNAcentral.
UACGUAGGGUGCGAGCGUUGCCCGGAUUUAUUGGGCGUAAAGGGCGCGUAGGCGGCUCGGCACGUCCGUUGUGAAAUCGCCCGGCUCAACUGGGCGGGGUCAGCGGAUACGGUCGAGCUUGAGCAAGCUAGGGGGCAAUGGAAUUCCCGGUGUAGUGGUGGAAUGCGUAGAUAUCGGGAGGAACAUCAGUGGCGAAGGCGGCUGCCUGGCCCAAUACUGACACUCAGGUGCGACAGCGUGGGGAGCAAACAGG